UUCCAGAGAUGGAUUGGUGCCUUCGGGAACUGUGAGACAGGUGCUGCAUGGCUGUCGUCAGCUCGUGUUGUGAAAUGUUGGGUUAAGUCCCGCAACGAGCGCAACCCUUAUCCUUUGUUGCCAGCGGUCCGGCCGGGAACUCAAAGGAGACUGCCAGUGAUAAACUGGAGGAAGGUGGGGAUGACGUCAAGUCAUCAUGGCCCUUACGACCAGGGCUACACACGUGCUACAAUGGCGCAUACAAAGAGAAGCGACCUCGCGAGAGCAAGCGGACCUCAUAAAGUGCGUCGUAGUCCGGAUUGGAGUCUGCAACUCGACUCCAUGAAGUCGGAAUCGCUAGUAAUCGUGGAUCAGAAUGCCACGGUGAAUACGUUCCCGGGCCUUGUACACACCGCCCGUCACACCAUGGGAGUGGGUUGCAAAAGAAGUAGGUAGCUUAACCUUCGGGAGGGCGCUUACCACUUUGUGAUUCAUGACUGGGGUGAAGUCGUAACAAGGUAACCGUAGGGGAACCUGCGGUUGGAUCACCUCCUUACCUUAAAGAA
Molecule: ribosomal RNA, 545 nt
Filed under: Salmonella enterica subsp. enterica serovar Javiana
Lineage: Bacteria; Pseudomonadati; Pseudomonadota; Gammaproteobacteria; Enterobacterales; Enterobacteriaceae
Description: bacterial SSU rRNA
Rfam family: Bacterial small subunit ribosomal RNA
Source: RNAcentral